GACGAACGCUGGCGGCGUGCUUAACACAUGCAAGUCGAACGGAAAGGCCCCCUUGUGGGGUACUCGAGUGGCGAACGGGUGAGUAACACGUGAGUAACCUACCCUUGACUUUGGGAUAACUUCAGGAAACUGGGGCUAAUACCGGAUAGGAGCUCCUGCUGCAUGGUGGGGGUUGGAAAGUUUCGGCGGUUGGGGAUGGACUCGCGGCUUAUCAGCUUGUUGGUGGGGUAGUGGCUCACCAAGGCUUUGACGGGUAGCCGGCCUGAGAGGGUGACCGGCCACAUUGGGACUGAGAUACGGCCCAGACUCCUACGGGAGGCAGCAGUGGGGAAUAUUGCACAAUGGGCGGAAGCCUAAUGCAGCAACGCCGCGUGCGGGAUGACGGCCUUCGGGUUGUAAACCGCUUUCGCCUGUGACGAAGCGUGAGUGACGGUAAUGGGUAAAGAAGCACCGGCUAACUACGUG
Molecule: ribosomal RNA, 465 nt
Filed under: uncultured bacterium
Lineage: Bacteria
Description: partial 16S ribosomal RNA
Rfam family: Bacterial small subunit ribosomal RNA
Source: RNAcentral